This 312-nucleotide long non-coding RNA is filed under the name Sus scrofa (pig). Its description in RNAcentral is "lncRNA (ENSSSCG00030064826.1, ENSSSCG00040017655.1)". The record is from RNAcentral. Lineage: Eukaryota; Metazoa; Chordata; Mammalia; Artiodactyla; Suidae.
CUUCCAUAUGCCAAUGGUGCAGCCCUGAAAAGACCCCCCCAAAAAAGGUAAAAAAAAAUGUUGCUCCAGAUCUAUUAAAUUUAUUUCUUAAGCCAUUGAAAGGCCAUGAAGGACCCAGAGUUUGAAAAACACUCUGCUGGGUGUUCUAACAUUUGCUUGUGGUACUUAUUUACACUUUUUUUUUUUUUUACUAGGUCAAAACUGGAGCAAAUUCCUUGCUGGUCAGCCUUGGCCCUGAUCGGCUUGGGCGCCUCUGCCCAGUUCCUUCCAGUUUUCCUGACCACCUCCCAGGCGUGCACAAGUCUGGUCUAG